RNAcentral lists this ribosomal RNA (297 nucleotides) under uncultured bacterium. Its description in RNAcentral is "partial 16S ribosomal RNA". It matches the Rfam family "Bacterial small subunit ribosomal RNA", at positions 331 to 645 of the family's 1533-position model. The record is from RNAcentral.
CGUGACCUACGGGAGGCAGCAGUGGGGAAUAUUGCACAAUGGGGGGAACCCUGAUGCAGCGACGCCGCGUGGGCGAGGAAGUAUUUCGGUAUGUAAAGCCCUAUCGGCAGGGAAGAAGAAAUGACGGUACCUGAAUAAGAAGCACCGGCUAAAUACGUGCCAGCAGCCGCGGUAAUACGUAUGGUGCAAGCGUUAUCCGGAUUUACUGGGCGUAAAGGGAGCGCAGGCGGCGCGCCAAGUCUGCUUUGAAACCCCGGGGCUCAACCCCGGGCAUGGAUUGGUAACUGGCGGGCUGGA